GGCGCUGGCCCCCGAGCGGCGAACACCAGGUGCCAGGGCGUGAGCAACAGCUUGCGCGGGGGCCGCUCGGUCUCCACAGCCACGAAAGAGGCCCGGCGCUGCAAGUCCCGGUCCAGGAAGAGCAGCACGGGCGUGGGCACCACCCGGCCUGCCGCGUCUGCAGCCAGCACCCAGUCUCCGCGGUGCAGUUCCCGCAGGCCCUUCCGCUCUCCGCUUCGCAGGCGCACGGUGGCAUUUCCCGGAAAGCAGCCGCCUGCCCUGACCGCCAGUGAGUUAUCUGCAGGGAACAUGCACAGAGAUGACUGAAUCAAGACCAGCGGUUCCAGGAUGUACAGAUUCUCAAAGAUAUGGGUCGAGCCCAGCCGCAGACCUCAACCAGUCCUGGGACAGAAUGUAAUUUCCCAUGGAUCUGGCCCCAACCUGGGCAGAAAUGGAAGGAUGGUUUACAACCCUAACGCCCACUUGGUCUCCCCUACGGUCGCACCGGAGAGGUGCAGCCUCAGUUUCCCGGCAGGAGCCCCCUUUGGGUGGACCUCACCACCCACCCCCUACUGUACCGGCUUUGACCGACACGUGGACGUGGUUGCGGGACUCGUAGUAGACCCAGUCGAAGCCGGCUUCCACUGCCAGCCGCGCCAGCAACCCAUACUUAUUGCGGUCGCGGUCGGACGUGGUGAUGUCCAAGGCACGACCUUCGUAGUGGAGUGAGUCCUGAGCAUGGUGGCCAUCUUCGUCCCAGCCCUCGGUCACCCGUAGGCGCACUCCGGGCCACAUGUUCAUCACGGCAAUGGCCAGCGCGUUCACCCGCUCCUUACAGCGCUGGCGAGGAAUAAAGGAGUCAGUCUCCUCACUACCACUCUCACCUUAGGGGCAAAAGGGACCUGGACGGGAGGGUCGAUUCUUUGUUUUCCUGGCCUGACUCCACUCCCUCCCAGGUUUUGAGUGUCCCGGAGAAGUGAGAAGCCGAAUAGGUGCAGUCGUCAAUAAGCACUCCCUUUCCAGACCGUUAUGGGAGAACUGUGGGGUGCCCUCGGAGAUUGAUAGGGGGUGCCUAUAUCUAGCUCUUUCCCCACUUUCGACGCCCGCCCCUCACUCGUUAUGGGACCUCGGCUCAACCUGGAAGAGGGCAAGAGUUGAGAGGGCGGGUGGAAGCUCGGUCAGGGAGGGGUUGAGCAGCCUGGCUCCCGGAGAGGAGCCCCUGUUUGAGGCUGGCCCCCGCCCCAAGGCCCGGCUGCCCUCCCUCCGCCUGAUUCAUCUUUUGUUUCGUUGCCUUCCCUGGCACCGGGCAUCGCUUCCUUCCUUCCUUCCUCCUCCUCCUUUCGGCCCCUAGCAUUAACCCCUUCGUGGUGCGAGUGCCCCCCACAGAGGUGCCCAAGCGGAGCCGUGGGGGAUCAAGGCUGCUGGAAAAAGGGUUUGGGUGGCGGGGGCUGCGCGAAGUACAAUGGCCAUUCUCCGGGAUGACUUAACCGAGCGAGAAUCCCGGGCCGAGGCCGGGGACGCGCCGGGAGAAGCGGACUCAGCAGCUCCAUCCACAAAGGCGCUUUUCAGCCGCCCCGGCUCAGGGAGAGGAAAGGGCAGAAAGCCGCGCCCCCCAUCCCUGCUCCCGCCCGCCGGGCCCCCUCCCCCAGCGCGACCAGCCCUCCCAAUUCCAACUCAGGCUCUGCCAGCCCGGAGAGCCCGGUCUUUCCAUCUCUGUUCCAGAUGCAUCCCAGAAAGGCGUGGGAGUAGCACCUGAGAUUAGCAGGAGCUGCCCUUGCGCGGAACUGGGGGGCCCCCUGCAGGGUGGGAGUGGAGAGGAGGGAAAGCAUCAGUGGCUGGAAAGCCUGCACCCGGGGGAGUGAGACCACGGUUAUCUGGGCGGCUCUAGUCUGGGAGCCAGAGACCUUGGCACGCACCAUAGCACGGACGCGGCGGGAGGAGGCUCGGAGAGGACAGCUUCCUUUUCUUCUCCUCGCUCCGACCUCUCACCUCGGACUUGGUUUUCUCCUAAGUGCCAGAGGGGCACUUUCCCCCUUCCCUUCUUCCCGAGUUUUCUACACCUCCGCAGGGUUGGAGAGCAGGGGAGGGGAAGACAGGAAAAGUGGUAACUCCUUCCAACUUUUUGUCAUUCUGUCCCCUAAGGAGGCCCUGAGGCCUUGACCUGCGGGGGCAGCAGCCCAGUGCAGAGCCAACUCAAUGGAGGCCUUUUGCAGCCAGGGUGUGGGAGAUAAGCAGGACUGAGGGGUUCCCAGACCCGUUAGAGCCCCUCCUGGGCCUGUCCCUUUUUCUGGCCCCUCUGCUGCAGGUGGCAGCCAGAGGAACAGGUCACAAUAUUCCAUGACCAAGGAGGGAAGGAGUGUCCCCUUCCCAAUCUCUGAGUAGAAGUAGAAGGAAUUCUUUCUCCCCUGGACAGGUUUUCCUAACAAAGUAACCUGGAAAACUAUGGCAAUUAAUCGGAGGAAAUCCGUACCCCUCCCUCUCCCCCCACCUCCCCACUCCAUACACAAUUAGGUGGUGUAAUGGAAAGUGUAUAGGACUUAGAAUCAGGAGUCCUGAAUUCUAGUCCCAGCCAUGCCACUAAUUAGUUUUUAAGACUUUGAUUAAAUCGCUUUUCCUCUUGGGGCCCAGUUCUCAGCUGCAAAAUUGAGGCGGGGAG
RNAcentral lists this long non-coding RNA (2635 nucleotides) under Lynx pardinus (Iberian lynx). The record is from RNAcentral. Lineage: Eukaryota; Metazoa; Chordata; Mammalia; Carnivora; Felidae.